UGAGAGAAAAUGGGUAAAGGAGAGGUGACCAAGUUCACACAGUCCACUAUGCAUGUGAGUGAGUGAUUUGGAAGGGUUUCGGUCUACCAUGCUUGGUGCAUGAGAUGGAUCAUGGGUUGGUGUGAUGGGUGAUUGGUUUGAAAGUGUCUAUGCAUGGCCAUGAUGGCCACGCAACAUGCAAGGGUAGAGAGGAAUGGGUUCAAUAGCCUUGAGAAGAAAUGGGUAUAUGGUGGGCUUAGAGAGAGAAAAGGUGGUGGAAAGAAAUGGGUAUAUUGCAUGGGGUUAUGAAACAUGUAGUGUUAAAGAGAAAUGAGUAUGAAGGAGUGAGCCAUGGGCAUGGAGGUUUGGAAGGAUGGGUAUGAAAAGCUAGUGAGACAAGGUGGCAAACAUAGAAUGGGUUUAAGGGCAUUAACAUGAAAUGGGUGUAUGGUGGGGUUUAGAGAGAGAAAGGUAGGAACGGGUUGGGUAGUAGACAAGUGGUGAGGUGGCCAGAUUUGCAUGGUUGUUAUGGAAGAGAAGUGUAUGGAGAUUGAUGGGAAUGAGCAUAGAAAUGAUGGCAUGUCUUGCAGGAAGAGUGAACUCAUCAACAUUGAGCGGAGAGUAGCAGCUUUCUCGAUGGUUAUUUAGGUGCUGUCCAUUUUAUCCCGCGGUCAGUUAAUGCAUUAGAGAUGGAGGUGUCAUGUUGAUUGUACCCAUAACGUGCACUUUAUACCAGCUCUCUUAACUUUUAUCCGUUGCUUUUUAUGAUGACUUUACACAUACUGACUGAGUCUUUUCGUGAGCUUCAUGGUUCAAGUCUGUAUAUAUCCCACCAGAUUCUUCAAUCUGUUCUAGCUUCAUAACGCCCAGAUUAAGCACCUAUUUAUUGCUUUCAGAUAAAUCAAACUGCAAUGACCAGAUUUCUUCUUAUAAUAUCCAUUGAUCCGGCAACAUGAAAUGACGGUAAAGCUUUUCGAAGCAUUAAGAUUUUUCCAGAGAUGAAAUAAGGCUCUUCUGCUAUGGUUAUUCUUCCUUUAUUGCUGAUGGGUGGCUCCGUAUGGCAUAGUUAACAGCAAGCUCCAGUCCACGCUCCCAGUUGCUUUCAACGUGAGAAUAUAUCCCUGGCGAUUUCUUACUCUCUCAGGCAGAGGUGAGAAGGUUGAUAUGUGCCAUGGAUGUAAUUCCCAAAACAGGGGAAUGGCAGCAAAACAAGGCACAAACAGUAGAGAAUGGAAUGAGUUCAUUCAGGCCUCAUAUGAUGUAUCCAACAAUGAGCUCGGGUGCAAGAUCAGUCCAAGAAAGAUUUCAAAAUGAGUUUUAAAACAAAAGCAAAGGUGGGAAUCUCAUGAGAGAUCUCAAAACAGGGUAUAUAAAACCGGUUAGAAAUCAAACAUGAGGCAGAAGCAAGCAAACCUAAAUACAAGAAAAACAAACUGAAAAACCCAACAAACACAUUCGAACACCAAACUAGAGACUCAUGAAUAUCCAGAAGCAAGAUGAAAAAGAUAUUGAACAUAGACCAUACCUGAAAAACCUCCUUACAAGCGAGAACUUGCCUGACUUCAAACUCUGUUUUUAUCACCUCUCUGGAAGAUGUUCAGCUCAAAAACAUCUUUCAAAAGACCACCCUUCGAACCCUCCUCAUAACCGGCAAUGGAAACCUCACUCUCCUUAGCCUCUUGCCCAAGCUAGCCACCCUCUCCAAAAUCCUUCACAAUCGUCAAAUGGAGACCUCCCCAAGCCAGAGGAAUCCCCCUCACCCUCCUUCUCGGUCCGUUUUUCUUUUUUCCAAGAUCCCCCCUGGCACCCUCAAAAGGAUCCUCCUAAAAUCCUCUCCCCUUCAGUCAAAGCUUUUCCCGCAAGCUAUUAACUACUAUACUGUUCACCGCUCAGCAACCUGGAGCCCCAACCACCACCAUGGCUGUGGCCAACUGCUCCACCACGUGUUCCACACAGCUCAUCUCUCCAAGCAGCCAGGUCCCCCC
This 1964-nucleotide long non-coding RNA is filed under the name Vitis vinifera (wine grape). RNAcentral's name for it is "long non-coding RNA (VVIN_LNC004138)". The record is from RNAcentral. Lineage: Eukaryota; Viridiplantae; Streptophyta; Magnoliopsida; Vitales; Vitaceae.